Molecule: ribosomal RNA, 949 nt
Filed under: Escherichia coli
Lineage: Bacteria; Pseudomonadati; Pseudomonadota; Gammaproteobacteria; Enterobacterales; Enterobacteriaceae
Description: partial 23S ribosomal RNA
Rfam family: Bacterial large subunit ribosomal RNA
Source: RNAcentral
UCUAAGUACCCCGAGGAAAAGAAAUCAACCGAGAUUCCCCCAGUAGCGGCGAGCGAACGGGGAGGAGCCCAGAGCCUGAAUCAGUGUGUGUGUUAGUGGAAGCGUCUGGAAAGGCGUGCGAUACAGGGUGACAGCCCCGUACACAAAAAUGCACAUACUGUGAGCUCGAUGAGUAGGGCGGGACACGUGGUAUCCUGUCUGAAUAUGGGGGGACCAUCCUCCAAGGCUAAAUACUCCUGACUGACCGAUAGUGAACCAGUACCGUGAGGGAAAGGCGAAAAGAACCCCGGCGAGGGGAGUGAAAAAGAACCUGAAACCGUGUACGUACAAGCAGUGGGAGCCUCUUUAUGGGGUGACUGCGUACCUUUUGUAUAAUGGGUCAGCGACUUAUAUUCUGUAGCAAGGUUAACCGAAUAGGGGAGCCGAAGGGAAACCGAGUCUUAACUGGGCGUUAAGUUGCAGGGUAUAGACCCGAAACCCGGUGAUCUAGCCAUGGGCAGGUUGAAGGUUGGGUAACACUAACUGGAGGACCGAACCGACUAAUGUUGAAAAAUUAGCGGAUGACUUGUGGCUGGGGGUGAAAGGCCAAUCAAACCGGGAGAUAGCUGGUUCUCCCCGAAAGCUAUUUAGGUAGCGCCUCGUGAAUUCAUCUCCGGGGGUAGAGCACUGUUUCGGCAAGGGGGUCAUCCCGACUUACCAACCCGAUGCAAACUGCGAAUACCGGAGAAUGUUAUCACGGGAGACACACGGCGGGUGCUAACGUCCGUCGUGAAGAGGGAAACAACCCAGACCGCCAGCUAAGGUCCCAAAGUCAUGGUUAAGUGGGAAACGAUGUGGGAAGGCCCAGACAGCCAGGAUGUUGGCUUAGAAGCAGCCAUCAUUUAAAGAAAGCGUAAUAGCUCACUGGUCGAGUCGGCCUGCGCGGAAGAUGUAACGGGGCUAAACCAUG